RNAcentral lists this ribosomal RNA (221 nucleotides) under uncultured bacterium. RNAcentral's name for it is "partial 16S ribosomal RNA". It matches the Rfam family "Bacterial small subunit ribosomal RNA", at positions 524 to 745 of the family's 1533-position model. The record is from RNAcentral.
UACGUAGGGGGCAAGCGUUGUCCGGAAUCAUUGGGCGUAAAGCGCGUGUAGCGGCCCGGUAAGUCCGUGUGAAAGUCGGGGGCUCAACCUCGGAUGCCGGUGGAUACUGUCGGGCUAGAGUGCGGGAGAGGCGAGUGGAAUUCCUGGGUGAUAGCGGUGAAAUGCGCAGAUAUCAGGAGGAACACCAAUUGCGAAGGCAGCUCGCUGGAACGUUACUGACG